AGCGGUUAGGAGGGCGGGGCGCGUGCGCGCGCACCUCGCUCACGCGCCGGCGCGCUCCUUUUGCAGGCUCGUGGCGGUCGGUCAGCGGGGCGUUCUCCCACCUGUAGCGACUCAGAGCCUCCAAGCUCAUGGCCUCCUUAGGAGCGAACCCAAGGAGGACACCGCAGGGACCGAGACCUGGGGCGGCCUCCUCCGGCUUCCCCAGCCCGGCCCCAGUGCCGGGCCCCAGGGAGGCCGAGGAGGAGGAAGUCGAGGAGGAGGAGGAGCUGGCCGAGAUCCAUCUGUGUGUGCUGUGGAAUUCAGGAUACUUGGGCAUUGCCUACUAUGAUACUAGUGACUCCACUAUCCACUUCAUGCCAGAUGCCCCAGACCACGAGAGCCUCAAGCUUCUCCAGAGAGUUCUGGAUGAGAUCAAUCCCCAGUCUGUUGUUACGAGUGCCAAACAGGAUGAGAAUAUGACUCGAUUUCUGGGAAAGCUUGCCUCCCAGGAGCACAGAGAGCCUAAAAGACCUGAAAUCAUAUUUUUGCCAAGUGUGGAUUUUGGUCUGGAGAUAAGCAAACAACGCCUCCUUUCUGGAAACUACUCCUUCAUCCCAGACGCCAUGACUGCCACUGAGAAAAUCCUCUUCCUCUCUUCCAUUAUUCCCUUUGACUGCCUCCUCACACCCCCAGGAGAUUUAAGAUUUACCCCGAUUCCACUGCUGAUCCCCUCCCAGGUUCGAGCACUUGGAGGGCUGCUGAAGUUCCUGGGUCGAAGAAGAAUCGGGGUUGAACUGGAAGACUAUAAUGUCAGCGUCCCCAUCCUGGGCUUUAAGAAAUUUAUGUUGACUCAUCUGGUGAACAUAGAUCAAGACACUUACAGUGUUCUACAGAUUUUUAAGAGUGAGUCUCACCCCUCAGUGUACAAAGUGGCCAGUGGACUGAAGGAGGGGCUCAGCCUCUUUGGAAUCCUCAACAGAUGCCACUGUAAGUGGGGAGAGAAGCUGCUCAGGCUAUGGUUCACACGUCCGACUCAUGACCUGGGGGAGCUCAGUUCUCGUCUGGACGUCAUUCAGUUUUUUCUGCUGCCCCAGAAUCUGGACAUGGCUCAGAUGCUGCAUCGGCUCCUGGGUCACAUCAAGAACGUGCCUCUGAUUCUGAAACGCAUGAAGUUGUCCCACACCAAGGUCAGCGACUGGCAGGUUCUCUACAAGACUGUGUACAGUGCCCUGGGCCUGAGGGAUGCCUGCCGCUCCCUGCCGCAGUCCAUCCAGCUCUUUCGGGACAUUGCCCAAGAGUUCUCUGAUGACCUGCACCAUAUCGCCAGCCUCAUUGGGAAAGUAGUGGACUUUGAGGGCAGCCUUGCUGAAAAUCGCUUCACAGUCCUCCCCAACAUAGAUCCUGAAAUUGAUGAGAAAAAGCGAAGACUGAUGGGACUUCCCAGUUUCCUUACUGAGGUUGCCCGCAAGGAGCUGGAGAAUCUGGACUCCCGUAUUCCUUCAUGCAGUGUCAUCUACAUCCCUCUGAUUGGCUUCCUUCUUUCUAUUCCCCGCCUGCCUUCCAUGGUAGAGGCCAGUGACUUUGAGAUUAAUGGACUGGACUUCAUGUUUCUCUCAGAGGAGAAGCUGCACUAUCGUAGUGCCCGAACCAAGGAGCUGGAUGCAUUGCUGGGGGACCUGCACUGCGAGAUCCGGGACCAGGAGACGCUGCUGAUGUACCAGCUACAGUGCCAGGUGCUGGCACGAGCAGCUGUCUUAACCCGAGUAUUGGACCUUGCCUCCCGCCUGGACGUCCUGCUGGCUCUUGCCAGUGCUGCCCGGGACUAUGGCUACUCAAGGCCGCGUUACUCCCCACAAGUCCUUGGGGUACGAAUCCAGAAUGGCAGACAUCCUCUGAUGGAACUCUGUGCCCGAACCUUUGUGCCCAACUCCACAGAAUGUGGUGGGGACAAAGGGAGGGUCAAAGUCAUCACUGGACCCAACUCAUCAGGGAAGAGCAUAUACCUCAAACAGGUAGGCUUGAUCACAUUCAUGGCCCUGGUAGGCAGCUUUGUGCCAGCAGAGGAGGCCGAAAUUGGGGCAGUAGACGCCAUCUUCACACGAAUUCAUAGCUGCGAAUCCAUCUCCCUUGGCCUCUCCACCUUCAUGAUCGACCUCAACCAGGUGGCGAAAGCAGUGAACAAUGCCACUGCACAGUCGCUGGUCCUUAUUGAUGAAUUUGGAAAGGGAACCAACACGGUGGAUGGGCUCGCGCUUCUGGCCGCUGUGCUCCGACACUGGCUGGCACGUGGACCCACAUGCCCCCACAUCUUUGUGGCCACCAACUUUCUGAGCCUUGUUCAGCUACAACUGCUGCCACAAGGGCCCCUGGUGCAGUAUUUGACCAUGGAGACCUGUGAGGAUGGCAACGAUCUUGUCUUCUUCUAUCAGGUUUGCGAAGGUGUUGCGAAGGCCAGCCAUGCCUCCCACACAGCUGCCCAGGCUGGGCUUCCUGACAAGCUUGUGGCUCGUGGCAAGGAGGUCUCAGACUUGAUCCGCAGUGGAAAACCCAUCAAGCCUGUCAAGGAUUUGCUAAAGAAGAACCAAAUGGAAAAUUGCCAGACAUUAGUGGAUAAGUUUAUGAAACUGGAUUUGGAAGAUCCUAACCUGGACUUGAACGUUUUCAUGAGCCAGGAAGUGCUGCCUGCUGCCACCAGCAUCCUCUGAGAGUCCUUCCAGUGUCCUCCCCAGCCUCCUGAGACUCCGGUGGGCUGCCAUGCCCUCUUUGUUUCCUUAUCUCCCUCAGACGCAGAGUUUUUAGUUUCUCUAGAAAUUUUGUUUCAUAUUAGGAAUAAAGUUUAUUUUGAAGAAAGAUAUUGUUUCUUUAGUCUCAAAACAAGAGACUAGGAAAGAUCCAAAACACAGAGCAGGAGUCCACAGGGGAACCUGCCCUGCCUCAGUAAAAAUACAGUGUUGUUGCUGUAGGAAGACUCCCGGAUUCUACCCCAGGAUACUUCAUGAGAACGAACCCCUUCAGAGAGGCCCUACAAAACAGAUUAGAGGGAAGACAGAGGGGUCCAAGGGAGAUGGUCUCUCUUCUCAAGUAGGAACACCCCAGCCUCAGACAGACACAGCAGGAAGGGGCCUGAGAGGCUGACAGAGGCAGGAUGGGUGCAAGGCAGGGGUGGAGGGGAGGGACCAGCCCGGGCUGCACCAGUGGGAGUGGCUCCACCCUUCCCACCUCAGAGCCAUGGGGAGCCAGGGCUCUGGCGGGGUGCCCUUGGUGCAGGCUCCCUACACAGUCCUGCUGCUGCCGCUGGGGACAAGCCGCCAAGACCCAGGGGCCCAGAGCUUCUUCCUUUGGCUACGCAGGAUGCAGGCUCUGGAGAGAGAACAGGAUGCCCUGUGGCAGGGUCUGGAGCUGCUACAGCAUGGCCAGGCCUGGUUUGAAGACCAUCUGAGGGAGGCACAGCGACAGCAGCUGCAUCUAGGGGCCCUUGGUGAGAAUUUUCUAACAGAUUUACACUCAGAGCCUGGUCGCCCCCCGUUAGCCCAGAUUCAAAAGGUGAACAUCUGUUUGCAGAAUCUGAUUCAUGAGAAGUUCUCCCCAAGUCCACUGAACAAGGCUAGUUCCUGCACCACCCAGGAUUCAAAGGAAAGACGAAGGGAGCAGAACUUGUGGCAGCAACAGGAGUUGUCAAGGCAGCAGAAAGGAGUCACCCAGCCAAAGGAGGAGAUGGCUCAGCGGGGCUGCACCAAGGGGCCAAGAGGCCCUACCCGUGUCUAAACCCUCCUCUCACUCCCCUAAGCCUGGUGAAAGAGUCAGAAGCCCCAGGCUCCUUUUUCUGUUUCUUAACUCAACAGCUAAAAAAUGGCUCCAGGUAGUGAGUCAAUGAAGUUCAGACAUGUUGGUGUAAAGUUUCUCCUCUGCUCCUGAAAACUUCAUCUUCUUGGUGUCUCAUGUCCUCAUUCUCCCCUAUAUGACAUGCAAAAACGAUCUUUCUUUGAAAUCCCUCUGGGAAGAAGCAUGUUUAUUGAAACUGUCCUUCAGCCUUAAAUACAAAAAUAAAACUGAAACUGCUCCAGAAAGCAGCUUUCUCCAAAAAAAAAAAA
RNAcentral lists this long non-coding RNA (4070 nucleotides) under Homo sapiens (human). Its description in RNAcentral is "MSH5-SAPCD1 readthrough (NMD candidate) (MSH5-SAPCD1)". Lineage: Eukaryota; Metazoa; Chordata; Mammalia; Primates; Hominidae. The record is from RNAcentral.